UUGCGCGUAAAAUGCCCGAAUCCUGACACAGGGAGGUAGUGACAAGAAAUAACAAUACAGGGCUACAUCUAGUCUUGUAAUUGGAAUGAGUACAAUUUACAUCUCUUCACGAGGAUCAAUUGGAGGGCAAGUCUGGUGCCAGCAGCCGCGGUAAUUCCAGCUCCAAUAGCGUAUAUUAAAGUUGUUGCAGUUAGAACGCUCGUAGUCGGAUUUCGGGGCGGGUCGACCGGUCUGCCGAUGGGUACGCACUGGCCGACGCGUCCUUCCUUCCGGAGACCGUCUCACUCUUAACUGAGCGGAGGCGGGAGACGGAACGUUUACUUUGAAAAAAUCAGAGUGUUUCAAGCAGGCAGCUCGCUCUUGCAUGGAUUAGCAUGGGAUAAUGAAAUAGGACUUUGGUGCUAUUUUGUUGGUUUCGAACACCGAAGUAAUGAUGAGCAGGGACAGUCAGGGGCCUCCGUAUUCCAA
Molecule: ribosomal RNA, 468 nt
Filed under: uncultured eukaryote
Lineage: Eukaryota
Description: SSU rRNA
Rfam family: Eukaryotic small subunit ribosomal RNA
Source: RNAcentral